GCAAACAUCAGUACGCCUCCUCUCCAACUGUCAUUGACAAAUUUAAUCUGAAAAUAUUCUGAGAUUGACCUCUGAAGAGCAAGGCCUGAGUCGCUUGGGGAAAAUAAGAGAAACCUUGUUUAUUGGGGGAAUGGGAAAGUCAAUAAAUCCCUGACGAGCUUUGAUCCUAAGAGAGCAACAGACAGAAGACACAGAUAUUUUUCCAAAUGCCCUGGAUGAAAACAGAGAUUAUUAGAAAGGACACAAGUGAAAAAGACUGCUCCAGAAAUGUUUUAGAUAACAUGUUACAGUCCCUCUCAACUGCAAAGGAAUCUUGGGAGGAAGAGAAAGAAGGAUUUUUGCAUGAAGUCAACCAGCAAGCAACACAAUUAGAGACCAUGUACUUACCAAUAAUAACAGUGUUGUCAUCAGCAAUUAGCAACUUGCUGUGGACAUAGAUGAGCUCAGUGACUAGGUUUCCUUCAAGCUCUGCAUGCGUUCUAAGGCCACAGAAUGAUAUGUAAUUUAUCCACUGAUUGCCAACUAUAAAGUAAAAAAGAAAGUAUUAAAAUGAAUAUGACCUAGCUCAAUAAAGGCACAUUAUAUUUUACUGUUUUUCAAAACAAAUAUACUCAUUAAAUAGGUGGUUUAGAUUGUAUAGUGUGUGUGUGUGUGUGUGUGUGUGUGUGUGUGUGUAUAAUAUCAGAACUCACCCAGGAUCUAUUUUUGCUAUCAGAAGAAUCUUGUAGUAUUAAUAUGGAUGGAUACACAU
Molecule: long non-coding RNA, 751 nt
Organism: Felis catus (domestic cat)
Lineage: Eukaryota; Metazoa; Chordata; Mammalia; Carnivora; Felidae
Exons: 2
Source: RefSeq, a predicted model, not a curated record